CCUACGGGGGGCAGCAGUGAGGAAUAUUGGUCAAUGGGCGCGAGCCUGAACCAGCCAAGUAGCGUGAAGGAUGACUGCCCUACGGGUUGUAAACUUCUUUUGUAAAGGAAUAAAGUGAGGCACGUGUGCCUCUUUGAAUGUACUUGAAGAAUAAGGAUCGGCUAACUCCGUGCCAGCAGCCGCGGUAAUACGGAGGAUCCGAGCGUUAUCCGGAUUUAUUGGGUUUAAAGGGAGCGUAGAGGGGUUGUUAAGUCAGUUGUCAAAGUUUGCGGCUCAAACGUAGAACUGCAAUUGAUACUGGCAGUCUUGAGUACAGGAGAGGUAGGCGGAAUUCGCGGUGUAGCGGUGAAAUGCUUAGAUAUCACGAAGAACUCCGAUUGCGAAGGCAGCUUAC
This 394-nucleotide ribosomal RNA is filed under the name uncultured bacterium. RNAcentral describes it as "partial 16S ribosomal RNA". It matches the Rfam family "Bacterial small subunit ribosomal RNA", at positions 338 to 729 of the family's 1533-position model. The record is from RNAcentral.